GUGCCUACGGGGGGCAGCAGUGGGGAAUAUUGGGCAAUGGACGCAAGUCUGACCCAGCAACGCCGCGUGAAGGAAGAAGGCUUUCGGGUUGUAAACUUCUUUUAAGGGGGAAGAGCAGAAGACGGUACCCCUUGAAUAAGCCACGGCUAACUACGUGCCAGCAGCCGCGGUAAUACGUAGGGGGCAAGCGUUAUCCGGAUUUACUGGGUGUAAAGGGAGCGUAGACGGCGUGCCAAGUCUGAUGUGAAAGGCCGGGGCUCAACCCCGGGACUGCAUUUGAAACUGUCCGGCUGGAGUGCAGGAGG
This 305-nucleotide ribosomal RNA is filed under the name uncultured bacterium. RNAcentral describes it as "bacterial SSU rRNA". It matches the Rfam family "Bacterial small subunit ribosomal RNA", at positions 335 to 655 of the family's 1533-position model. The record is from RNAcentral.